CCAGGCUAGACGAGGCUAUGUGAGAGAUGGAAACAGAUCUGGGACCAGGCUAGAUGAGGCUAUGUGAGAGAUGGGAACAGAUCUGGGACCAGGCUAGACGAGGCUAUGUGAGAGAUGGAAACAGAUCUGGGACCAGGCUAGACGAGGCUAUGUGAGAGAUGGAAACAGAUCUGGGACAAGGCUAGACGAGGCUAUGUGAGAGAUGGAAACAGAUCUGGGACCAGGCUAGACGAGGCUAUGUGAGAGAUGGAAACAGAUCUGGGACCAGGCUAGACGAGGC
This 280-nucleotide long non-coding RNA is filed under the name Salmo salar (Atlantic salmon). RNAcentral's name for it is "lncRNA (ENSSSAG00000113962.1)". The record is from RNAcentral. Lineage: Eukaryota; Metazoa; Chordata; Actinopteri; Salmoniformes; Salmonidae.